CCCUUAGAUGUCCGGGGCUGCACGCGCGCUACACUGAAGGAAUCAGCGUGCUAAAACCAUUGUCGAAAGGCAUUGGUAAACCCAUUAAAAUCCUACGUGAUUGGGAUCGGGAAUUGCAAUUAUUUCCCUUGAACGAGGAAUUCCCAGUAAGUGUGGGUCAUAAACUCGCGUUGAUUACGUCCCUGCCCUUUGUACACACCGCCCGUCGCUGCCCGGGACUGAGCCGUUUCGAGAAAAGCGGGGACUGCUGCUGUCGGGGCUUUCGGGCCUUGGCUUCGGUGGAAACCGCUUUAAUCGCAGUGGCUUGAACCGGGCAAAAGUCGUAACA
RNAcentral lists this ribosomal RNA (328 nucleotides) under uncultured eukaryote. RNAcentral describes it as "partial 18S ribosomal RNA". It matches the Rfam family "Eukaryotic small subunit ribosomal RNA", at positions 1470 to 1796 of the family's 1831-position model. The record is from RNAcentral.